Chlorocebus sabaeus (green monkey) is the source of this 1644-nucleotide non-coding RNA. NCBI's taxonomy places the organism in Eukaryota, Metazoa, Chordata, Mammalia, Primates, Cercopithecidae. The record is from RefSeq and is a predicted model, not a curated record.
UUCAAGAUGGUGGAAUGGCAAUUGAUGGUGAGAUUCCAGGACUUGAUUAGUGAUGAGACUGCCAUUUGCUGUUCAGGACAUUCCAUCACAGUUCAUACUCGUGGAAGUGCAUGAGAACCGGGACAAGCACCACUCUGUAGACUCCAGAGGUUUCACUUUGGACCAGGCAAACUAUAUUGACACUUUAACUUCUAGUCUUCCAGACAAACCCCAGCUGCCUCUUUUACUCAGAGAUCUGGCCUGAGAUGAUUGGACCAAGAACAAACACCUGCCCCAGUGGGGAGCCCAUUUAUAAACCAGCUGAGCUAAUCUUCCUCCCAAGAGCAUUUAUGUUUGGAGAAAGAGAGACUGAGUCAGCCUGCUGAUGGAUGGUGAUGGACCAAAUAAAGGUCAUAUGGAGUCAGGGUUGGAGUCAGUCCAUAAACAAGUUGAAGUCAUGUGGGGGUAGACCAUGGGAAGCAGGAGAAACUGCUCUGUGCAGACAAAUGGGAGAAUAGAGCUAAGGCCAGAGAGAUCCGGGGCAUGCAAGAAUGAGAGAAGAGCCCCAGUUCAGAAAACCACCUGGCCGGAUGUCACCUGGUUUUCUGGCCCUGGAUGCCUGCGAGACUGCUUGUUAUCCAUUGUAUUAAGCUCUCUAGGUGGGUUUCUCUCACCUACAACCCAAGUGAUUCCAGACUAAGACAACUUCAUGCACCAAAUGGCAAAUACAGGCUAUCAAAUAGUUCCCUACCUCUUCAGUAUCUCCACCAAGUCACCCAGACUGCAGAGGUCUAUGGUGCAACAUAGGGAUACAUGGAGGAAUAGGCAAGAUGGAGGAAAUGAGUAUACAGGACAUUGUCCAUAUGUUUUACAGUUUAUAAAUGCCCAACUCGCAAUUUGUCAUUUUCUGUUAGCUUUUUCCAUGUGUCUUUUUCACCUGCAAUCUUGUGGGCCAAUCAGUACGUUCUGCCCAGAUCAGGGUUCAACGCCCACAACAUGUCACUGCCAAGUCAUGGGCCCAUGUCUUGAGUGUCACAUUCCAGCAGGGCACUCUCCUCCUCUGCUUUAGAAAGGUGAUGCUGAAAUAGAGUUUUAUUUAUUCGAUACAUAUUUACUGGCUGCCUGCUAUAGCUAGACACUGUGCAAGGUGCCAAGGAUACGGCAAUGAGCUAAUGGCAUAUGUCUUACUUGCAUGGACUUAUAUUGGUGGGGAGGGAGUACACUUGCAAUGAACACUAUGAAAAGCAUAAGCAGGAUGAUUUGUGAUGGUAGGGGUCAAUGAGGAUCCUACUUAGAUGGGUUGGUUAAGAAAGGCCUCUCGAGGAUGAGAAAGAGCCAAUCAUGAACAAAUUUUAAAAUAGAAGAAAUGACACACACAAAGACCCUUCCACAGGAAAGAGCUUGGUGACAUCAAGGGAUUGAGAGAAGUCAGAGAAGGCAGAGCGGUUGGAUCAUGUGGUCUCUCUGAUACACACCCCUUUGGUGCCUGCUGUCCCACACAGUUUUCCUUUUUGCCUGAGGUAUUAGCCUUAUCUGGAUAUUUGUCCCCAUGUCUGUUGGUUGGACCUGCACAAUCUCUCUCCUGUUCCACCUCUCCUUUCCUGUCCUGCAGCUGCUGGUCUGCUCAGGCUUCCUCCUCACUCACCUGAUCUCUGCAACUACCUU